CAGCCGCGGUAACACCGGCAGCUCUAGUGGUAGCUGUUUUAUUGGGCCUAAAGCGUUCGUAGCCGGUUUAAUAAGUCUCUGGUGAAAUCCUAUAGCUUAACUGUGGGAAUUGCUGGAGAUACUAUUAGACUUGAGAUCGGGAGAGGUCAGAGGUACUCCUGGGGGUAGGGGUGAAAUCCUGUAAUCCUAGGAGGACCACCUGUGGCGAAGGCGUCUGACUAGAACGAAUCUGACGGUGAGGAACGAAAGCUAGGGGCGCGAACCGGAUUAGAUACCCGGGUAGUCCUAGCCGUAAACUAUGCGGACUUGGUGUGAGGGUGGCUUUGAGCCGUCCUGGUGCCGAAGGGAAGCUGUUAAGUCCGCCGCCUGGGAAGUACGGUCGCAAGACUGAAACUUAAAGGAAUUGGCGGGGGAGCACCACAACGCGUGGAGCCCUGCGGUUUAAUUGGAUUCAACGCCGGAGAUCUCACCAGCGGCGACAGCAGUAUGAUGACCAGGUUGAUGACUUUUGUUUGACAAGCUGAGGGGUGGUGCAUGG
RNAcentral lists this ribosomal RNA (538 nucleotides) under uncultured archaeon. RNAcentral's name for it is "bacterial SSU rRNA". It matches the Rfam family "Archaeal small subunit ribosomal RNA", at positions 462 to 997 of the family's 1478-position model. The record is from RNAcentral.